UACAGAGGGGGCAAGCGUUGUUCGGAACUACUGGGCGUAAAGGGCGCGUAGGCGGCCUUCUAAGUCGAACGUGAAAUCCCUGGGCUCAACCCAGGAACUGCGUCCGAUACUGGAAGGCUUGAAUCCGGGAGAGGGAUGCGGAAUUCCAGGUGUAGCGGUGAAAUGCGCAGAUAUCAGGAGGAACACCAAUGGCGAAGGCAGCUCUCUGGGACGGUACUGACGCUGAGGCGCGAAAGCGUGGGGAGCGAACAGG
This 253-nucleotide ribosomal RNA is filed under the name uncultured bacterium. Its description in RNAcentral is "partial 16S ribosomal RNA". It matches the Rfam family "Bacterial small subunit ribosomal RNA", at positions 524 to 776 of the family's 1533-position model. The record is from RNAcentral.